RNAcentral lists this ribosomal RNA (1635 nucleotides) under Triticum aestivum (bread wheat). RNAcentral's name for it is "partial small subunit ribosomal RNA". The record is from RNAcentral. Lineage: Eukaryota; Viridiplantae; Streptophyta; Magnoliopsida; Poales; Poaceae.
AUGGAGGAGAAGCCGAGCCUCUCGUCGGCGCUGUUCGCCGGCACCCGCUUCGACCGCAAGCGCUUCGCGGGGGACAUCGCGCGGUUCCGGACGGGCGCGCAGCCCGCCCCCGCGGCCCCCGACGUGGCGCCGCCGGCCCCGGAGAAGAAGCGGAAGCGCAAGAGCAAGGCCAACGCGAAGAAGAUCAGCAAGAAGAAGAAGAAGCGCGCCGACGGGGCCGCCUCCGCGUCCGAUGUUGUGGAGGGGUUCAGCGUGUUCAAGGGGGCGGAGGCGAAGGAGGUGGUGGAGGAGUCUGUGGAGGUGGUGGUCAGGGAGGACGAGGACUCGGCCGUCGUGAGGCGGCGGAAGGAGGCCGAGAGGGAAAUCGAGAGAGCUGCCAUCCUCAGGAAGAGGUAUGACAUCCACAUUUCGGGACAUAAUGUUCCAGCACCACUGGAGAGCUUUGAAGAAUUGGUUUCAAGGUAUGACUGUGAUUCAUAUUUGGUUGGGAACUUGUCAAAACUUGGGUUUCAAGAACCUACACCUAUCCAGAGGCAGGCCAUUUCUAUCCUUCUUUCAGGCAGGGAGUGCUUUGCUUGUGCACCUACAGGCUCUGGCAAGACACUGGCAUUCUUGCUCCCGAUGCUUAUGAAAAUCAAGCCAGGGUCUAAAGGAGGCGUUAAGGCUGUUAUUCUUUGCCCAACAAGGGAAUUGGCAGCACAAACUACGAGAGAGUGCAAGAAGUUGGCAAAAGGGAGGAAGUUUGGUGUCAAACUAAUGACCAAAGAUCUAUCACAAGAUGGUAAUUUCAAGGAUAUGCACUGCGACAUCCUUGUAUCAACCCCGCUUCGUUUGGACCAUGCUAUACGAAAGAGAGAUCUUGACUUAAGUAGGGUGGAGUACCUUGUGUUGGAUGAAUCUGAUAAACUUUUUGAGCUUGGAUUUGUCGAAGUGAUUGAUUCAAUUGUCAAAUCAUGCUCAAACCCUUCAAUAAUUCGUUCUUUGUUUAGUGCCACAUUGCCUGAAACAAUAGAGGCUCUUGCACGUACAAUAAUGCAUGAUGCUGUUCGGAUCAUUGUGGGACGAAAGAAUUCAGCUUCCUCAAUGAUCAAGCAAAAGUUGAUUUUUGCUGGAACCGAGAGGGGGAAGCUGAUAGCUCUUCGCCAAAGCUUUGCAGAAUCCCUGAAUCCACCGGUAUUGGUCUUUGUUCAAAGCAAAGAGAGGGCAAAAGAGCUCUACAGAGAGCUGGUAUAUGACGACAUUAGAGUUGAUGUAAUCCAUGGAGACCUUACUGAAGAGCAGCGUCAAGAUGCUGUUGACAACUUGAGAGCUGGAAAAAGCUGGGUGCUAAUAGCAACAGAGGUUCUUGCGCGGGGAAUGGAUUUCAAAGGUGUCAACUGUGUAAUCAACUAUGAUUUCCCUGAGUCCGCGUCUGCCUACAUUCACAGAAUAGGACGGUCUGGAAGAGCAGGCAGGUCGGGGGAGGCGAUCACGUUCUUCACGGAGGAGGACAAGCCGUUCCUGCGGAACAUCGCCAACGUGCUGGUAUCUUCGGGCUGCGAGGUCCCUUCCUGGAUGGUGGCGUUGCCCAAGCUCAAGAGCAGGAAGCACAGGGUGGACAGGGACCGCAUCUCCUUUUUAACCGACGAAGAUUGA